This 205-nucleotide long non-coding RNA is filed under the name Elaeis guineensis (African oil palm). RNAcentral describes it as "long non-coding RNA (EGUI_LNC012970)". Lineage: Eukaryota; Viridiplantae; Streptophyta; Magnoliopsida; Arecales; Arecaceae. The record is from RNAcentral.
GCCUGCAAAGAUGGCUCGGUUGGUUUCCACUGAUUACUUUCCCAAUUUAUCCUUGGUUUAGAACAGAAUCAUGAGGGUGAAUUGCAUCACCUGUUUCACUUUUCAGCAAAAGGAUAUACAGUCCCUUGAACCACAUCAUACAACAAGUAAUCAUUGUCUUGUAGGAUUUCGAUUUCAAAGGCCUUUGACCUUUCAGCACUUGUUU